UACAGAGGUGGCAAGCGUUGUUCGGAAUUACUGGGCGUAAAGGGCGCGUAGGCGGUCAGGUCAGUCCCGUGUGAAAUCCCUCGGCUCAACUGAGGAACUGCACGGGAAACUGCCUGGCUUGAGUUCGGGAGAGGGAAGCGGAAUUCCGGGUGUAGCGGUGAAAUGCGUAGAUAUCCGGAGGAACACCGGUGGCGAAGGCGGCUUCCUGGACCGACACUGACGCUGAUGCGCGAAAGCUAGGGGAGCAAACGGG
This 253-nucleotide ribosomal RNA is filed under the name uncultured bacterium. RNAcentral's name for it is "partial 16S ribosomal RNA". It matches the Rfam family "Bacterial small subunit ribosomal RNA", at positions 524 to 776 of the family's 1533-position model. The record is from RNAcentral.